GGGCCAGUGGCUAAGCCAGGUAUAGCGACAGGCUCUUAGUCCUCUCAGCUGCUGCUGAGUGGUAGAGGCACUUGUUGGUCGGGGGUUCAAAUCCCCCCUGGCCCGCCA
RNAcentral lists this transfer RNA (108 nucleotides) under Candidatus Latescibacterota bacterium. RNAcentral describes it as "Candidatus Latescibacteria bacterium tRNA-OTHER". It matches the Rfam family "tRNA". Rfam says of the family: Transfer RNA (tRNA) molecules are approximately 80 nucleotides in length. The record is from RNAcentral. Lineage: Bacteria; Pseudomonadati; Candidatus Latescibacterota.